RNAcentral lists this long non-coding RNA (6907 nucleotides) under Sus scrofa (pig). RNAcentral describes it as "lncRNA (ENSSSCG00000053997.1)". Lineage: Eukaryota; Metazoa; Chordata; Mammalia; Artiodactyla; Suidae. The record is from RNAcentral.
UUUUUUUUUUUUUUUCAGCUACCCACUAACCCUGUUCUGUUCCCAAACUGGUUCAUGUCAGGUUAAUUACUUCCUUUUUAUAAGAGCUUCUAGGCAAAUCUCAGAGAAUUCUUGGUCUCCUCUAUAACUGAUCCAAGCUGACUUUAAUCUAGAAACUUUCUCAACUAUAUUUCUAUAACCCUAACACAGGUUUGUAGGUUGGCAAAUUUUCCAUUGAGGUGAUUCUUUUCCAGUUCCACUUUUGUCAAAUAUUCUUGUGCAGCUGCCUGAAAAUUCCCAGAGAUAUUUUCUCUUUUACUACUGAAGGCCAUUCUGGUAUUUGGGAGAAGAAAAUAACUUCUAAGCUAAAUAAAACUAUUCUCCCAACAUUAGAAAGAAGAGAAAUUCUAUUACAUUUUAGCAACCAGAUAUGCCUUAGGUUUAUUAAUGUUCCAUGUACAUUUAUGCAUUAGCUAAACACACAUUGCAAUUUUCAGUACCUACAAAGUGUACCUAAUUCAUCUGCAAUGAAUCAUACAGUCUCUGUCUACUUAGAUAUAAAAUUCAUUCAAUGUUGAAUUACUUUUUAAUAUGAUAAUUUGGGAUUGUAAGAUAUCAGCUAAAAUAGGAACCAACUCACAUUAUGCUUCUGCAAACUUUUUCAAAACACAAAGACUUGAAAAUCUAAUUUUUUUAUAGUAGAAAGUAAUAGCAGCAUUUAAAAUAACAAUUACUGUACACUUUUAUCACAACAAUUCAUGUGAAUAUUCACAACACGAGAUUGCCUUCAUGCACUUAAAGCAAGAGUUAAAAGAAAGUAUGUUCAUGUCAUAUCCUAAAAAGCAAAGAGAAAUAGAAAAGUAUAUGCAAUAGACCAUCUCAAAACAAGCAGUAAAAAUGUGAUCGAUAGGCAACUAAGAAACUUAGAAAUUUAGAGGUGAGAGCUAUAUAUUAAAAAAUCAAAAGAUUAAGAUAGGGAACAAAAAUCUUCAUGAAUUGGGAUAAAUAAUUAGCAAGGUGUACAUUCUUUUAAAAUGAACUCAAAAUUGUUCAUCCAAUAAAAAAUAAAUCUGGUUGAAUUUUUAAGCAAAUCCAUAUUCAAGCACAAAGAAUAUUCGUCAGUAAUAAUAUGGAGGAAAUAACAACAUCCAUAACAAUGGAAGAGCUAAGUUUUAUAAAAUUAGAUUUAUAGUUUUUCUAACUAUAAACAUAAUAGGUAUUUGUUAUAGAAAUUUGAAGAUUAAAAAAGUCACUAAGUAAAAACAUGUAUAAUUCAAAUAGAAUUACAUUUCUAUUUGCAUAUGCUUUAGUAUCUGAAAUAAUAUUAGAAAUUAAAGAUUACAUGAGUUUUUACCGUUUGUAUUAGUAUUUAAGUAUUUUCUGUGUCAUUGAUUUAUUUGCAGAGAACUGAGACCCAAUUAAAAGUGGCUUAAGCAAAUAAAGGUAGAUUUUAGCUUGUAUGAAUAAAAAGGUUACUGAAAAGGCCAGGAGUAAGCUUGCUUGGGCUUUUGUGCUCAUACAAAUUAAUCGAAAAUUAUCUUUAUCUAUCUCUUAGCAGUGAUUUUCUCUGGGUUGAUUUUAUUCUUAGUCAAUUCUUCCUACAAGAUGGCAAAAGAACCCUAGAAGUUUCCAUUAACUUUUUAUUUAGAAACUCCAAUGGAAAGUUUCUGCUUCUUCAGCAAUACUCCCAGGGAAGGUUCCCAGCAGGGUCCUUCUCUUCACCCAGGGGGAUAUAACAUUGAUUACUCAGCUUUUAAUUGCCAGGGAAAUGUGGGAGUCAUUGGCAUGAAGCUGAAUCUAAAGUUCGGAGGCUGGAUGACAUGACUGCCUAGGGAACAAGAACAGAUACAGAAGAGAAGCGUCUAAAACAUAAGCCCGAGGUCACACAACCAGACUUGUAAGUAGAAAACCUUUCAUAUAGAAAAAUAGCUGCGGAUUCUCUUUUGUGUAAGCUCCUUAGUCUCAGUAAGUAGUCAGAAAGGCCAUGGACUAAAAAGUCCAUAUAUUCUAACAUACACCAAGGUUAGACCCAACAUGAAAAUUUUUCAGAAGAAAGUGUUUUAAUGGACAUUGCUGAAAAAUCACUAUCACAAAAUUCAAUUGAAAUAGUAUAUUUAAAUGUACUAAAUCGGUUAAAUAAAAGUUUACACUCAACUAAAGAAAAAUUUAUUGUCCUAUACUCAACUGAAAAUUCCUUCCCGGUCAGUUGAUUUAGACAGCCUGCUCAUCUUCAAAAUCAAGUUCAAUAAUACAUGGAAAGCCAUGAAAAAAGACAAACUGUCAUCCGAGAUUAACAUGUAUUUUUGCACUUCAUGUAAAACUGCCACUUCUGAGGACAUUCAAUGUCUUUUGAAAAUUUUAUCAAGAUCAAACUGUACAAGACCAGAAUUUUUAAAAGUAAUUGAUACUCUCUAACAAUUUGCAAAGAACUUGGCAAGAAAGGAAAUAAAAUAUGAAUAGCUUUACUAGUAUGUUAGCACAUGUUAUAAUGAAUAAUUUGGAAUAUUUCCUUUGGAAUUUUUAAAUAAUGUAAGGUAACCUACAUUAAAAAUUUGUGUACAAUAUAAGUUUAUCUAAAUAUCCUGAUUAGCUUUUGAACAUUGCAUGAUGCAUAAUCUAUAUUAUUGCUAGAGGAAUCCUAAACUAUACAAAAGAACUCAUAUUUCAAUGCUCUGUUAGAUUUCUCUGUUAAAAUAAGAAAUUAUUAUAUUAGUUUACAAAUUAAGACUUGGUCUAAAAAAUCAUAGAGUCCCGAGUUUUUAAGAUAAUCAAAAUUUCACUGUGAUGCAAAGCAUGUUCUAAGAAUUCAAAGCAAACUUAAUAAUAAUAUUCUUUAUCCCCAAGGAAAGAGUUAGAAGAUAAUUUCCACAUUUAUUUUAUAUACUUCUGUUUUACAGUAUUUUUUCAAAUAAUGAUCUUUUUUAUAAUUAUUUAAAAGCAAUUUGUAGUCAUAAUGAAGUAUUAGAAAAAUAUAUCAACUGUGUCACAUUGUAAUAUGCAAAUGGAUCAACUCUUUCUCUUGAUUUAAAAAAAUACAAAUUAUUUGGGCCUCAUCCUGAAAAGGAAUCCAGUAAAAUAAGUCUGUAGUGGAGCACCAAGAUUCAAUAUUUUAUUUUAUUUUUUAUUAUUUUUUUUCAAUGCACAUAGAAACUCCUGGACCAGGGAUUGAACCCAUGUCAUAGCUGCAACCCAAGACACAGCAGUGACAAUGCAGAGUCCUUAACCACUAGGCUACCAGGAAACUCCAAGACUCUGCAUUUUCAAAAAGCAAACCUCGAGUUCCUGCUGUGGAUCGGGCAUCUUGGGAGCUCUGGGAUGAAGGUUUAAUCCCCGGCCUGGCACAGUGGGUUAAGGAUCCAGUGUUAUCACAGCUGUGGCUUAGGUCUGAUCCCUGGCCCAGGAACUCUAUAUGCCGCAGGGUGACCAAAAAAGAAAAAUAAAUAAGGAAAUUUGGGUGAUUCUGUGCACACAGUUUGUAGACUAAAAUUCAAAAAACCCCGAUAAUAGGGAAUAAUUUCAUCAUGGUAUAGAGAAGGAGAGUUCCUGAGCCUGUUUGCAAAGACAAAAUCUAGGGAGAAGAGAUAGAUCUGACAAAUAAAAAUGUAAGACUAAAGUAUGUUAGAAAACACUGAAAAAAAAUCAAAAGUCAAAUAAUAAAUUGGGAAAAAUUUAAAUUCUUUCAAAAUUAAAAAAUCACAGUUAACCCUGAUAGAGUAAAAUGUUUAAAAAUCAAUUAAAACAAUAAGCAUCCUAAUAGAAAAGCCUUGUAAGAUUCUAGAUCUCAAGAAUUUUAUCUGUUAAAUAACCCCUCAAUUAAGUGAUUAGCCCUGAUGAGUAUAAAAAGAAGCCAUGAGGAUUAUAUGGAGUCAAGAAGUGUUUAGAGUUUAGAGUUUAUGACAAAGGGUCAUAACAAGCUGAAGUUUGAGGAAGUAGGGCAAGAAGGCAGAGUAGCGGAAAGACUACUCUAGUCAAUACAAAGAACAUAGAUAGCAUUGCUGUCAAGUUCCAGACAAUUCAUGAACUUCUCCUGCUAAAAUGAUUAGUGCUGCCUUGGAUCAAGUUCCAUUUGUAUGAUGGCCAGGUGUACUAUGGUUUCCAUUCUUGGAAUCCUAUUCCAUCUCUGCCUCUCUUAAUUGCCCUAAAUGUUUCCUUACUGCAAAUCCUUCACUAUUAAAACAACUUGAGUGUGUCUGUUUCCUUCAACUAAGAGAUCAUAACUAGAACAUCUGAAGAACUCUAUCUAAUGCAUCAAUCUCAAUGAAUAAACAAUAUACAUUGGGCCUUGAAAGUCAGAAGAGUGUCCUUCAUUUUUCUCUGGUAGUAGGCAGCAGCAAGGUCAUGAUAUACUGUUAUAUCUUAUACAACUAGCUGAAUAAUUACAUUCCAUGUUUAUAGACAAGAAUCCAUUAUGUAGAUUGUAAGCCUUUUAUGGAAAAGAACUGUCUUUUUUUUUUAAGUCCCCAGCACAUACAUAGUACUGUAUAGUUAACAGGCUAUGUACCUGAAUUUAUUGUCAUCUCUCCAUAUUCCCUCUUGCCCUGUCUCACUGGGAUCAGAAACACACAGAUUCUGAAAUUGAGAUAUAAGAUUUGCAUAAUUACCUUUUCUCUUAAAUAAAGAGUACCAUUAUUUUAAAUCAACUCUCAUUUUCAAAAUAUGCUUUUUUAAUGACAUAAUUAGUAACCCAGUUUUGUCUAUUUUUACAUCAGUGCACUCCGCUUGAUAAAUAAUAUUCAAAAAUUUUUCCAGCAUGCAUAUAUUUUCUUAAGCAAGUUUAAAAUAUAUAUAUUAAAUGUAUACUUAUAUUUUAUAGGUACAAAUUUCUGUUGGUCAUUCAUACACAUUAUGUGGCUUUCAUAUCAUGAUGCUUUAUAACACUGUAGUUACUUUAGUCACGUCUUCAGUAUAUGUAUGACCUGGCAAAAGGAUGAAACAAAUGGAGACCAAUAGAUAGAUAGGUAGCUAGGUAGAUAGAUAGAUAGAUAGAUAGAUAGAUAGAUAGAUAGAUAGAUAGAAUACUUGGUAUUCUAAACAAUUGAACAUAUACCCAUGAAUUAAACCAGAUACUCUUGAAAAUAUUUAUUUAAAGGAAAUGUUCACCUGACAAAAACAAAAACAAAAAAGAAACCCCUGAAACCCUCUCCUCACACGAAAGCAUCUCAUGCCUAAUGAAUGCUCCUUUUAAGAAUCAUUUAAGGUAGUUUAUAAAGUGUGUCUUCCAAAUUUCCAGGUUAAAUGUUUGAUGUGGUUUUUUUCUGCUUCAAAAUCACUUUGUUGUUAAGGUUUACUGCUGAGCUUUAUAGGGUAAGGUAGAUCCAGAUUAUCUUUUCCUGAAAAUAAGCAUGGUAUUGUCAAGUUCUACUAUUAAUUCAUGCAAAUAUAUCCUUCUAUCAGAGAGAAUAAAGUCAUGUUAAAAAUAAAGCUAGAUUAUAGAAUGAGACCAAACUGAAUAUUUUCUCCAUUCUGGAAUUUGAGUAGAAUCUGUGCUUAAAAUAAUAGCUUGGGGGCAUGUUGAAAAGUUUAAUGUCAAUUAACCUAUUUCCUAAAAAUGUUUAUGCUAAGAGCCUCUCAGUCCAUCUUAAGACAGAAUAAAAAGCACUGAACAGAAUCAAACUGCUUUAGUCUAUAGGUCUAAGGUCCAUAUGUGCAUUGAAAUUAGGCCUCGCUGCCAUCUCUGCUUCAUCUAGAACUAAAACUUCAGUGAGUACAUGAACUAUUGAAAGCAUUCUUCUUGCCAACACCAUCUGAAUCAAUAGCCUGCAAAAGACAUGAGGCUCUUUUGGCAAAAAUGCACCAUGGACACCAACUCCAAAUACUGGGAGAGCUAACAUUCUGCAUUAUUCUCAAGGAAACAGCACUCGUGGCAAAGCCUAAUCCUACAUUGAUAGUAGCCUCACUGAAAUGCAGCUCAAAAAUUAAGAAGGUUCUCAUAUAAAUACUAUUCAUAAUUCAAAGACAGAAAUACCUGGCCCACAAUGUCAUCAGGACACAGGAAAUGCACUCUCUAAAAGGUAUGCUAAUUGAUACAGACACUUCAGGCUUCAGAAAUUUCCAUCAACAUUCAGUUCACAAACUCGGAGAUAUAGUAGAGAUUCUGCACGGAAGAGAAACACCUAGACAGGGUGUAGUUGUCAGAAAACAUCAGUAUAGCCCCCAAAUCAGAGAAUAUUGUUGUUAACAUGGCAGGAAGUCCAGGAAUUGAUUGCUUUCAGAGAAGGGAAAAUGGUUUAGGAUAUCAUAGUAUUUAAAAUAGUGUUUAUAGAUAAUAAUUACUGUGAAGUGGAGGUUAAUAGAUGGAUUUUAAAGUAUUUCCUAUAAAUUCUAAGAAUUUUUCUCAAAGUUGUUAAAACAAACUUUCUUUAAAAUCACAACAGUCACAGAAUUGGUAUUAUUGUGAAAUGUAAUAUGGAUUCAGUUCCACUCAAAAUAUAUUUACUUAGUGCUAUUAAAGAAAGCCAAGAACUGGACAGCAGUUAAAACAGUAAAGACAUAUUUUACUCAGGAUCUCUUGCAGUAGGGGAAAAGAGACCUCAAUAUAGAAUCAGAGUUAUUUCUGAAUACAGUGAGAAUAAGUAGGGAUUUAUUGCCAAGUAUCAUGGGCUGUGGUCAAAGGAUGGAAAAUUACUAAGUGGAAACAUGUUGAUAAGGAGGAAUUUUGGUUAAACCAACUUGACAGGAUUCUAGCUGAAGGCAGGCCACAGUGAUCAGAUUUACCUGGGAACUAGUGGGGGAUGAGGAAUUUGAUCUGUUAUUAAAGGUGAACAGAUAUGGUGGGUAGGAGUUCUGGCUAAACUGACAGCAGGAUUUUGCCAAAAACUUAGCAAUGCAAAGAGGAACACAGAUACCCAAAGGCUGGGACUAGUUGAAAAGAUGGCUCAGAGGAUCCUGUCUAAAAUUUGGUCAAGGAGAGAAUCUGUUAGUACAUACC